RNAcentral lists this ribosomal RNA (458 nucleotides) under uncultured bacterium. RNAcentral describes it as "SSU rRNA". It matches the Rfam family "Bacterial small subunit ribosomal RNA", at positions 26 to 518 of the family's 1533-position model. The record is from RNAcentral.
AGAAUCAACGCUGGCGGCGUGCCUAACACAUGCAAGUCGAACGAGAAAGUGGAGCAAUCCAUGAGUAAAGUGGCGACCGGGUGAGUAACACGUGACUAACCUACCUUCGAGUGGGGGAUAACCUCGGGAAACCGAGGCUAAUACCGCAUAACAUCGCAAGAUCAAAGCAGCAAUGCGCUGGAAGAGGGGGUCGCGGCUGAUUAGCUAGUUGGCGGGGUAAUGGCCCACCAAGGCGAAGAUCGGUAGCCGGCCUGAGAGGGCGCACGGCCACACUGGAACUGAAACACGGCCCCAGACUCCUACGGGAGGCAGCAGUGGGGAAUCUUGGACAAUGGAGGAAACUCUGAUCCAGCGAUGCCGCGUGAGUGAUGAAGGCCUUCGGGUUGUAAACUCUUUUACCAGGGAAGAUAAUGACUGUACCUGGAGAUAAGCUCGGCUAACUUCGCGCCAGCAGCCGC